RNAcentral lists this unclassified non-coding RNA (305 nucleotides) under plant metagenome. Its description in RNAcentral is "partial contains 5.8S ribosomal RNA, internal transcribed spacer 2, and large subunit ribosomal RNA". The stretch from base 1 to 105 matches the Rfam family "5.8S ribosomal RNA", at positions 50 to 154 of the family's 154-position model. The record is from RNAcentral.
GAAAUGCGAUAAGUAGUGUGAAUUGCAGAAUUCAGUGAAUCAUCGAAUCUUUGAACGCACAUCGCGCCCUUUGGUAUUCCUUAGGGCAUGCCUGUUCGAGCGUCAUCUAAACCUUCAAGCCCUGCUUGGUGUUGGGUGCCUGUCCCGCCUCCGCGCGCGGACUCACCUCAAAUCCAUUGGCGGCCCCCGCGUCGGCCACGAGCGCAGCAGAAACGCGAACUCGUGAGCCCGUCCGGGCGGCUCCCAGAAGCUACACCCACCCAGUUUGACCUCGGAUCAGGUAGGGAUACCCGCUGAACUUAAGC